RNAcentral lists this ribosomal RNA (1392 nucleotides) under Leishmania infantum. RNAcentral's name for it is "rRNA_dimethyltransferase_-_putative". Lineage: Eukaryota; Euglenozoa; Kinetoplastea; Trypanosomatida; Trypanosomatidae. The record is from RNAcentral.
AUGCACGGCGCUUCGGCUUCGUCGUCGCCGCAGGCAGCGGCACCAGUUGCGCUACCCCCGCUGCGCUGCCCGGGCGGACCGCGCGUUAAGGCAGAGGGCAUCAAGCAACUGUACAAAGUACCGCACGCCGGGUUCCUUGCCAAGUACGACCAGCGCUUCAUGUUAAACCUCAAGCUCACCCAUCAACUCGUCAGCUAUCUUAGUCGCACAACACUCACGACGCCGGACAAGGUGCUGGUGGAGCUGGGACCUGGCGUCGGGUCACUCACACGGAGUCUGCUGACGCGGCCUUGCGUCGGCGUCCUCGGGAUCGAAGUGGACGAACGCUUCAGCCCACACCUAGAGCAGAUCCGCAGCUACACAAGCAAUAAGUUCCAAUGGGUGACCGCCGACGUGCUCAAGGUGGACGAGCUGGAGCUGCUGAAAUCGGCCUUCCCGCAUUUUGUGAAGGCCAACAUAAGGCGUCCACCCAGUCCUGGACAGGAGACUUGGGCGGCCAACUCGGCAGCCGGCCGCUCUUCAAGCAGUGGAUCGCAGAGAGUCACCUUCACUGACGACGCCGGUGAGAACGACGCGGAUGGGUACGAGGGUGCGCCGUUGCGCUCGGCUCAACGUGAACGGCUGCUGCGUCAGCGCCGCGCGCGGCAGCCCUACCAACACAGUGACGACACCCACCGCGGAGGUGCUGAAGGAGCGGCAGACCCGGAAACAGCGGCGUCGCCUAACGCUGCCUUCGAUGUGACAAAUUACUGGUGGUCUAACGGGAAUGCGAAGGUCGAGGUGAUUGCAAACCUGCCCUUCGAGAUCAUCACCGAGCUGCUGAUGCGCUACGCAGUGGACUGCUCGCAGCAUCGCGGGCUCUUCGCCUUUGGCCGUGUGCCGGUACACGUCUUCACCCAGCGCGAGGUGGCCGAACGCAUUCUGGCACCGGCUGGGUCCGUGCAGUUCAGCCGCCUUUCUGUCCUCUGCCAGUGCUUCUUUCACGUUCGCCUCAAGCAGACGUUUUUAGACCAGACUUACUACCCGCGCACAGAGGUGGAGGGCGCAAUGCUGACGCUGGAGCCGCGUUCCGUGCCACUCGCACACGGUCUCGAUGCGUCCACCCUGAUUCACUUUACCAACCUGCUCAUGAAGCCGGGACUGCGCGCCGCCACCGUGCACAAGUCGCUCUCCCGAUUUGCACCUGCGGAGUUGGUGCAUUACAUGCUGCAGGAGCUGCGAAUGGACGGCGCGAUGACAGUGCUGGACUUGUCUGUGGUCGAGGUCACCCGCUUGGCUUGCCUGUGGCAGCAGUUUGUGAUCAUGUCGCAACAGCAACCACAGCCGGAGGCCGACGGUGCCGAGGCAGAAGCUGGAAGCCGCAAGGCCAGAUCCCCAAAUGGCGCCGUGUAG